This 23-nucleotide microRNA is filed under the name Macaca mulatta (Rhesus monkey). Its description in RNAcentral is "mml-miR-598-5p". Its record names the gene mml-miR-598-5p. RNAcentral also lists the same sequence under 2 other names. The record is from miRBase by way of RNAcentral. Lineage: Eukaryota; Metazoa; Chordata; Mammalia; Primates; Cercopithecidae.
GCGGUGAUCCCGAUGGUGUGAGC